AAACGCCGCUUAAUACCCAUAUGCCGAGAGGUGAAAUGGAUUCGCCUGAGGAUGAGCCCNNGUCUGAUUAGCUAGUUGGUGAGGUAAGAGCUCACCAAGGCAUCGAUCAGUAGCUGGUCUGAGAGGAUGAUCAGCCACACUGGGACUGAGACACGGCCCAGACUCCUACGGGAGGCAGCAGUGGGGAAUUUUCCGCAAUGGGCGAAAGCCUGACGGAGCAACGCNGCGUGAGGGAUGAAGGCCUCUGGGUUGUAAACCUCUUUUAUCAAGGAAGAAGAUCUGACGGUACUUGAUGAAUAA
RNAcentral lists this ribosomal RNA (300 nucleotides) under uncultured cyanobacterium. Its description in RNAcentral is "bacterial SSU rRNA". It matches the Rfam family "Bacterial small subunit ribosomal RNA", at positions 154 to 489 of the family's 1533-position model. Lineage: Bacteria; Bacillati; Cyanobacteriota. The record is from RNAcentral.